Chelonia mydas (Green sea turtle) is the source of this 2630-nucleotide long non-coding RNA. RefSeq lists it as uncharacterized. The record is from RefSeq and is a predicted model, not a curated record. The transcript is spliced from 2 exons. Lineage: Eukaryota; Metazoa; Chordata; Testudines; Cheloniidae.
UUCACUCAGCUAAAUCCAUUGCAACAAGUAUACCUGUGUUAGUGUAUCUGUGACCAUUGAUCCAGGGCACUAGGACCGUGCUUUGUUGACAAUAAACCUGCCAGAGCAGCUUCGCUACUGAAUGGGGUCUGUGGUCUUAUUAAGCAUUUCAACUGGAGCCUGCUAUCUAUCUGGCCAGAGCCAGUGCAGCAUGCAGAGAGAACACACACAUGCAGCCAACAACUGAUGACACUGGUGACCCUGACCGCUGAUCGGGUAAGUAGGCGAGCUGUCCUCUGUAGGAAUCCUGAUCUAACAUGGCAGAAAAGCUACAAGCUAGGGAACCCCCUUAUCUUCCUCCCUGCACAUUCCCACAGAGUUUGAUAAGAUAUGGAUGUCACGCUGGGGUGCCAGCAAGGGAGGUGCAUUUGAAUUUAAAAAAGAUAGUGGGGAAGAAACAUGGAAUGGAAUCUGUGAGACUAGGGCAGAGACUGUAGCCUUGGAAAAUAAGAGUAAGAAAUGCCCCACAUGCCACAAAAUUGGUGGGGCAACUAACGGGAAAAAAAGAGUAAAAAGAAGAAAGAGAAGCAACAGAGCUCUGGAAUGCCCCUGCUCCCCUAGCAGGGCAGCAAGCAGUUCAGAGACAGUAUACAUUACAGCAAGCACAGGAACAGAAUAAAACAUUGGAAACAGCUGUAAAGAAUCUGCACAAAAGAGAAGUGCCAUCCCUGUUAUAAAUAUUGGUGGUCAACAACUGGCUUCAGGUACCUGUAUAGUGCCUGAAGAAUGGGACAGAAAUGGAAAAAGUCUCUCCAAGCAAAAUAAAAAAAUGUAACAUGGAACAAUUGGAAUGGGUGCUGCAAUUGGGACAUUGGGAAUGACUCAUACCAGCCACCUAACAACCCAUGGGCAGGGGCCACUGCAUUGCAACCACCACCAUACGAUAAAAGCAAGUUUUGGUAAAACUUAAACCACAACCUAGACUGGUGCCUGUCAGAAUAUGAAAAGUAAGUGCACAGGAGGGAGAAGUAGUAAACAAUGCUUUCUCUGGAUUGGUAAAUAAGAUAAAGGAAAAAAUGGAGCCGUUCACAGAGCACAUUACAAGACAAGAGCUGUGACUUGAUCAGAGGGGGUGGAUAGAAAACCAAUUUUAAAGUGAAAACCCAAGAGUCAGUGGAUUAACACCUAGAAUUGAUGCAUUAACACAUGGAGUUGCCCAGAAACAGUUAACUGUAGCAGGCAAGGGCACUCCUGCAAUCCAUUCGGCACUCAGACAAAAGCAACAGACACUGGGGGAACAAAUUCACAUUUUGCAAGAGCAGGUAACAAUCCCCACUCUCCUCUCAGAGUCAGGAUAAAAACCAGAGGUAUGGGUUGCCAACUGCCUUAAUCCAGGGAGCCUCACUCAGAGCUAAUAAUAUAACCUUCUUUCUCAUAUAAUUUUACAGAAAGGUUAAAUUUUACUUUAUAUCCUCUCUCAGUUUGCGAAACUCACUGCUGCUGUCUGUACUUUAAGAUAUGUUGAUAAAGUUAAUUAAUCUCUUUUGGCUCAAGUUUUCCUCCCUUCCUAGAUUGCUCUUCUCCCCACCUCUCCUCACUUCUGCUUUCUGUUUUAAAAGUUAAAAGUUAUGGUUAUUACAGAAACUAUCAUUGCUAAAAAAACAAAAAAGAAGAAGCAACUGAAAACAGAACAAAACAACAAACAAAGAAAGAAAACAAGGGGCUUUUUUAUUGAAAGGAAAAAACUGAAGUAGAAACCUCAACAGUAAUGCAAAGGUAAUAUUAGCAAAAUGUCAAAUUUUUGUUUGAGUUUUUAUAAACUUGUUUGUAACUUUAUUAAGUAUUAAAAUAUAGUUAUAAGAAUGUUAUAGCAAAAUGGUAAAAAAAUAAUAUAUACUAUGUCUGGUUAUGUUGCAAAAUUUUAUAACUAACCAAAAAAUUUCAACAAGUUUCCACUUUUGUCUCCCAAAUACAACUGUGUUAUAAAAUGUUUUGUUAAAGGGAAGUAGUGGCUGUUAUAGUUUGCGCUUCUAAACAGUUAACAAAAGCAGAAUUGGUAUCACAAGCAAAUUAACUCUAAAAAGCUUGGGUAAAAACUCUGUAACUAACUCUUGCUAAAACAGAGUGCUCAGCAGGGGAAAGCAAUAUACCCUCUCACAGAAGAUUGUGAGCAUCUAUUUUAGCAGUUAUGUAUUAUAUUUAGUAUAAAAUAUUAGUAAUGCACCUCAAGUGAAAAUGAAAGUCUAUACAAUAAUUGUAAACGUAUAGCUGGUGUUACAAAAGACUUGGUUCCUAUUACACUGUAAACAAACUAAGUUAAUCUGUGUAUUAAAUUUGGGUUACUGAAAACAAGAGAAAUGUACAACAAGCAAGCAAAAAUGUAUUAUGUUAACCAACUUAAGCUGUUUAAGGUUGCAGCCCACAGACUGAAAACACCAGAAGAUAUCCGUUCACAGUGAAGAAACCCCCAGACAUCAAGAAAAAAUAAUGAAGUGCUUUAUAAACAACAGACUGGUCAACUACACCUGAGUCUACCAUAUAUGGACAGUUAAGUAGGCAAUCAGCUAAAAACUAUGAGCUGGUCCAGGUCUAACUGUCAUUUAAAUUGUAUAUUAUUAAGUAAAGUGAGUUUAUGUGCCAGUGGCUUUAAA